GAUGAACGCUGGCGGCGUGCCUAAUACAUGCAAGUCGAGCGAACAGACGAGGAGCUUGCUCCUCUGACGUUAGCGGCGGACGGGUGAGUAACACGUGGAUAACCUACCUAUAAGACUGGGAUAACUUCGGGAAACCGGAGCUAAUACCGGAUAAUAUAUUGAACCGCAUGGUUCAAUAGUGAAAGACGGUUUUGCUGUCACUUAUAGAUGGAUCCGCGCCGCAUUAGCUAGUUGGUAAGGUAACGGCUUACCAAGGCGACGAUGCGUAGCCGACCUGAGAGGGUGAUCGGCCACACUGGAACUGAGACACGGUCCAGACUCCUACGGGAGGCAGCAGUAGGGAAUCUUCCGCAAUGGGCGAAAACCUGACGGAGCAACGCCGCGUGAGUGAUGAAGGUCUUCGGAUCGUAAAACUCUGUUAUUAGGGAAGAACAAAUGUGUAAGUAACUAUGCACGUCUUGACGGUACCUAAUCAGAAAGCCACGGCUAACUACGUG
Molecule: ribosomal RNA, 497 nt
Filed under: uncultured bacterium
Lineage: Bacteria
Description: partial 16S ribosomal RNA
Rfam family: Bacterial small subunit ribosomal RNA
Source: RNAcentral